CAGUCGCCGCGGGAAUACGAAGGGUGCAAGCGUUACUCGGAAUUACUGGGCGUAAAGCGUGCGUAGGUGGUGGUUUAAGUUCGUUGUGAAAGCCCUGGGCUCAACCUGGGAAUUGCAGUGGAUACUGGGUCACUAGAGUGUGGUAGAGGAUAGUGGAAUUUCCGGUGUAGCAGUGAAAUGCGUAGAGAUCGGAAGGAACAUCUGUGGCGAAGGCGACUAUCUGGGCCAACACUGACACUGAGGCACGAAAGCGUGGGGAGCAAACAGGAUUAGAUACCCCUGUAGUCCCUGUCUCUUAUAA
Molecule: ribosomal RNA, 301 nt
Filed under: uncultured bacterium
Lineage: Bacteria
Description: partial 16S ribosomal RNA
Rfam family: Bacterial small subunit ribosomal RNA
Source: RNAcentral